AUGGCAUCGCUGGGGCGGCUCAAAUCCGCCAUCUUCGACAGGGAGGAGAGGAGGAUGCAGUACCAGUCGCACAUCCGGGGGCUCAACGCGUACGAUCGCCAUAAGAAGUUCAUGAAGGAUUACGUUCAGUUUUAUGGCCAUGAGAAAAAUGUGGAUAACAGUCUGCCCAUCAAAACUGAUAAAGAUACAUUGAGAGAAGGAUACAGGUUCAUUCUUUCCGAGGAAGAUGACAUGGAUUCAACUUGGGAGAAGAGGCUGGUCAAACGUUACUAUGACAAGCUUUUUAAAGAGUAUUGCAUUGCUGACAUGACCCAGUAUAAAAAAGGCAAGAUUGGAUUGAGAUGGAGAACAGAAAAGGAAGUGAUAUCUGGCAAAGGGCAAUUUAUCUGUGGUAAUAGGCGUUGUGAUGAAAAACAUGGGCUAGGCAGUUAUGAGGUGAAUUUUUCUUAUGUUGAAGCAGGGGAGCAGAAACAAGCACUAGUGAAGCUGGUAGCUUGCAAGAGAUGUGCAGAAAAGCUUGCUUAUAAGAGGCUGAAGGAGAAAGAGAAAGAGAAGGAGGGGAUCCCUACGGUGAAAAGGAAAUUGAGAAGUGAUGAUACCUCUGAGGAUGAGGCCAAGAAAGAUAGAAGAAAGAAAAAAGAUCGGAAGGGAGCUUCUUCAAGGGGUUCAGGAAACAACGAAGAAGGUUUCGAAGAGUUCCUCGAAGGCAUGUUCCCAUGA
This 720-nucleotide ribosomal RNA is filed under the name Triticum aestivum (bread wheat). RNAcentral describes it as "partial small subunit ribosomal RNA". The record is from RNAcentral. Lineage: Eukaryota; Viridiplantae; Streptophyta; Magnoliopsida; Poales; Poaceae.